This 787-nucleotide long non-coding RNA is filed under the name Vitis vinifera (wine grape). RNAcentral describes it as "long non-coding RNA (VVIN_LNC002320)". Lineage: Eukaryota; Viridiplantae; Streptophyta; Magnoliopsida; Vitales; Vitaceae. The record is from RNAcentral.
UCCUUUCUUCUCUUUGGAGAGCACUCCCGGAAAACACACACACACCUCACUUUGGAUUGGGAGAGGGAAAAACUCAUUGAUCCCUCAUUCUCGGACCAUCACGCACCCGGAAAACAACUUAUUGGAUAUCAGAGGGAGAAGAAAUGACUUCUCAUGACAUGAACCAAGGUAACUAGUUGAAUUUUUAUUAUUAAAUACAUGCUUAAAUGUUAACAUGUGAUCCUCUGCUAUUUAAAUUAUCUUCAUCUUUGUUAUGUCAUAUGUGAUGCAUCCCUUGUCUAGGUGGUAGACGAUGUUGGUUAAGUGUGGUGAGAGAUUAUUAAGGUAAAAAAGUUACAAAUAAGGCUCCAACUUUUUUAGACUUUUCUUCUCUCUUUAUUAUACCUAAUCCCACUGCAACCUUAUUUGUCAACUCCAAUAUUUAAAGAAGAAAAAAUAAAAUUCGUCUCACUAAUCGGGUCUCUAUGAAAAAUCGCAAGGUUACUUGAUUCAAAAGAAAAAGGGAAAAUAAGAAAACAAAGUAUUAAUAUUAAUAUUAUUAUAGAGAAAUGAAAAAGAAUAAUUAAAAAUUGAACAACAAAGAAGCCCUUAUCACACCAGGCAUAUUCAUCGAAAAUAUGUACAAACUAGAAAAGGAUUCUCCAGGAAUCGGUUUUUCAAGAUUGAAUGACUAAUCGUCUGGUGCAGACAGAGCAGAAGAACUUCCUCUUGGUUCUGAAGAAGAAGGGCAAAAAGCAGAACCUCCACGCGCUCUCCACGUCCAUGGCCUGGAUCAUCCCUCCGCAGU